RNAcentral lists this ribosomal RNA (165 nucleotides) under uncultured bacterium. RNAcentral describes it as "partial 16S ribosomal RNA". It matches the Rfam family "Bacterial small subunit ribosomal RNA", at positions 355 to 511 of the family's 1533-position model. The record is from RNAcentral.
UAGGGAAUCUUCCACAAUGGGGCGCAAGCCUGAUGGAGCAACGCCGCGUGAGUGAAGAAGGGUUUCGGCUCGUAAAGCUCUGUUGUUAAAGAAGAACGUGGGUAAGAGUAACUGUUUACCCAGUGACGGUAUUUAACCAGAAAGCCACGGCUAACUACGUGCCAG